CAUAAGGGAGCUUGACUGCGAGACCGACAGGUCGAGCAGGUACGAAAGUAGGUCUUAGUGAUCCGGUGGUUCAGCAUGGAAGGGCCAUCGCUCAACGGAUAAAAGGUACGCCGGGGAUAACAGGCUGAUCGCAUCCAAGAGUUCACAUCGACGGGGAGGUUUGGCACCUCGAUGUCGGCUCAUCGCAUCCUGGGGCUGGAGCCGGUCCCAAGGGUUUGGCUGUUCGCCAAUUAAAGCGGUACGUGAGCUGGGUUUAGAACGUCGUGAGACAGUUCGGUCCCUAUCUGCUGUGGGCGUAGGAGAUUUGAGGAGAGCUGCUCCUAGUACGAGAGGACCGGAGUGGACGAACCCCUGGUGUUCCAGUUGUCGCGCCAGCGGCAUCGCUGGGUAGCUAUGUUCGGCAGGGAUAACCGCUGAAAGCAUCUAAGCGGGAAGCCCCCUCCAAGAUAAGAUCUCCCUCCUCUUCGGAGGCUAAAGGGCCCUUGAAGACUACAAGGUUGAUAGGCCGGGAGUGUACGCAUAGUGAUAUGUUUAGCUGACCGGUACUAAUCGCCCGUGAGGCUUGGUCAC
This 570-nucleotide ribosomal RNA is filed under the name Pseudomonadota bacterium. RNAcentral's name for it is "Proteobacteria bacterium (groundwater metagenome) partial 23S ribosomal RNA". It matches the Rfam family "Bacterial large subunit ribosomal RNA", at positions 2358 to 2925 of the family's 2925-position model. Lineage: Bacteria; Pseudomonadati; Pseudomonadota. The record is from RNAcentral.